GGGUCAUAGCUCAGUGGUACAGCAUCUGCUUUGCUUGCAGAAGGUCCCAGCUUCAAAUCCCAGCAUCUCCA
Podarcis lilfordi (Lilford's wall lizard) is the source of this 71-nucleotide non-coding RNA. The record is from the annotation of a GenBank genome assembly. NCBI's taxonomy places the organism in Eukaryota, Metazoa, Chordata, Lepidosauria, Squamata, Lacertidae.